UUUUUUAUUUUUUGAGCCAUUUAGAUAUCAGGGGAAAUAUUUUUGUUGGCCUUCCUAAAAGUACCACUAGACUAUCUAAUUUGGAGUCUCUUCUUCUGAGUGGUUGCGCACAUCUUCGAUCUUUGCGGAGCUUCCAUUAAAUAGGUCAUCAGCUCACUAUUCCUGGAAAAGAAAUUUCGAAAUGGUUCACUCAUCAAAGCGUAGGGGCUUCAAUGAAUCUGCAAGUGCCUUCAAAUUUAUGUAAUAAAUUGAUGGGAGUCACUGUGUGCGCUAUUUUUGUACUCAGCCAGCAUCAUCCAUUUCCCCAACUUAAUUCAUUGUUUAUCUGGAGAAGUUAUAGAGCUACGCAUAGACUUCGGUGUUCAUUGAUAAGCGAUAGGUUUCGAUUCAUGUCUAGUGACUUUUGUUUUUCGGAAGAAUUUGGUGAGGUUGAAUCGUAUCCCUUAUUGCAGAAUUACUAUCCCAUUGUUCAAUCAUUCAAUGAGGAAUGGGAAGAAAAUUUGAGUCAAGCAGAUGUUGAUAUAUUCAGGCAGAUAUGAUUACCGGACUUUGUAGUUUAUUGGCGAGGAGAGAUUGUCGCAUUGCCAGGAGCUGAGAAGAUAUGUACAACAGAUAGUAAGCUCAUCAUUUUUGUUCACUUAAGUUGGAAGGUAAAAUCAAUACUCUUGUUGCUCUCUCGGUAUUUAAUACAAUUUUCCAACUCCAGUGUUGUAAAAUCAGAAGGAAAGAAGAAAAUUUGGGCCAAUUUUCACCAAAGAGGUUGUUUUCUCUCAGGCUAGCCAUGUGAUUUUUUUCCCCCACUGCAUCAACCAUUUCAAAGGUGAAUUGAUGUGGCUGUCCCAUAUAUACGGUGUGUUUCACUUACAGAUUGUUUGAUGCAGUUGCAUUUAAGCUUUUUAAUUGCUAGCUGUUGCCCAAUCUUGGCAGUGCAGUAAUGUAGGCUUUGUCUUAUAACAUCAUGAUGAUAUGCAGAGUUCAAGCAAACAGGAGGCCUGAAGUCGGAGCAGUUGUUAGUGUAGAUGGCAAGGGCCAUCAUUGGAUUGAUAGACUCAAGGAAUGCAUUGUCAUUGAUCAUGAACAAUAUACUUUUUCCCUCGUAAGUCGUAACCUGACUAGUUUGCUUCACAUCAGUUGGGAUGGACCAUGAUGAAGUUAGCGUGAUGUAGUUUGUAUUUUUCUUCUGCUUGUUGUGAAAUGCAUGUUAAUUAUGUAAUCACAUGUAAGAGUUGUACAAUCUGUCUUGCACAGAUAUUUCCAACCCUUUACCACAUUGAACUUAUACACAGAAGGUUGUAAUUAAAAUAGAGUAUUUUAAAAAUAAAAUAAAAUUGAAUUUCGGUGUCU
Quercus robur (English oak) is the source of this 1344-nucleotide long non-coding RNA. RefSeq lists it as uncharacterized. The transcript has 3 exons. The record is from RefSeq and is a predicted model, not a curated record. NCBI's taxonomy places the organism in Eukaryota, Viridiplantae, Streptophyta, Magnoliopsida, Fagales, Fagaceae.